AUGCCUAUCUAUAUGACAUUCAUAUUCUGGACACAGAAACAAUGGCAUGGCGGGAGGUAAAGACGACUGGUGCCGAGCUGAUGCCAAGAGCUGGUGAACGCAGAGCGAGGCAUAUUAUUCUUCUAUGGGGGAUGUAAUGAAGAGCUUGAAGCUCUGAAUGACAUGUAUUUCCUCGACACAGAUGCUGAGGGAGAAAGAUCCAUCAGAACCAAAG
This is a long non-coding RNA of Selaginella moellendorffii, 214 nucleotides long. RefSeq lists it as uncharacterized. NCBI's taxonomy places the organism in Eukaryota, Viridiplantae, Streptophyta, Lycopodiopsida, Selaginellales, Selaginellaceae. The transcript is spliced from 3 exons. The record is from RefSeq and is a predicted model, not a curated record.